AAUGAACGCUGGCGGCGUGGAUUAGGCAUGCAAGUCGAACGCGAAAGUUCCCUUCGGGGAGCGAGUAGAGUGGCGAAAGGGUGAGUAAUGCUUGGAUGACCUGCCCUCGAGACGGGGACGAACAGUUCGAAAGGAACUGCUAAUACCCGACUAGUCCGGUUUAGUAUGCGUCUAGAUCGGUAAAUGGUGCUUCCGCUCGAGGAGGGGUUCGAAGUCCUAUCAGCUUGUUGGUGAGGUAACGGCUCACCAAGGCGAUGACGGGUAGCCGGACUGAGAGGUUGGCCGGCCACAUGGGAACUGAGACACUGUCCUGACUCCUACGGGAGGCUGCAGUCGAGAAUCUUCUGCAAUGGGCGAAAGCCUGACAGAGCGACGCCGCGUGGAGGAUGAAGGCCCUCGGGUCGUAAACUACCUGUCACAUGUUAUGAAACGCACAGGUCUACCUGUGCGCUGACAAAAGACAUGAGAGGAAGUCACGGCUAACUUCGUG
Molecule: ribosomal RNA, 490 nt
Filed under: uncultured bacterium
Lineage: Bacteria
Description: bacterial SSU rRNA
Rfam family: Bacterial small subunit ribosomal RNA
Source: RNAcentral